This 583-nucleotide ribosomal RNA is filed under the name Scytinostroma alutum. RNAcentral's name for it is "partial large subunit ribosomal RNA". It matches the Rfam family "Eukaryotic large subunit ribosomal RNA", at positions 71 to 655 of the family's 3401-position model. The record is from RNAcentral. Lineage: Eukaryota; Fungi; Basidiomycota; Agaricomycetes; Russulales; Lachnocladiaceae.
AGGAUUCCCCUAGUAACUGCGAGUGAAGCGGGAUGAGCUCAAAUUUGAAAUCUGGCAGUGUAACAGCUGUCCGAGUUGUAAUUUAGAGAAGUGUUUUCUGUGCCAGACCGUGUACAAGUCUCCUGGAAUGGGGCGUCAUAGAGGGUGAGAAUCCCGUCUUUGACACGGCUCUCUACUGGUGCUAUGUGAUACACUCUCAAAGAGUCGAGUUGUUUGGGAAUGCAGCUCAAAAUGGGUGGUGAACUCCAUCUAAAGCUAAAUAUUGGCGAGAGACCGAUAGCGAACAAGUACCGUGAGGGAAAGAUGAAAAGCACUUUGGAAAGAGAGUGAAACAGUACGUGAAAUUGCUGAAAGGGAAACGAUUGAAGUCAGUCACAUUUGCUAGAAUUCAACCCUUUGCUGGGUGUAUUUUCUUAGUUGAAUGGGUCAGCAUCACUUUUGGCCAUUGGAAAAGGGCGGGAGGAAUGUGGCACUCUUUUAUUAGGGUGUGUUAUAGCCUCUCUUUGUCAUAUACAGUGGGUUCAGGAGUGAGGAAUGCCUUUGUUGUAGGAUGCUGGCAUAAUGGCUUUAAACGACCCGUCUU